UCUUGGUCCAUUAGAGGAAGUAAAAGUCGUAACAAGGUUUCCGUAGGUGAACCUGCGGAAGGAUCAUUACCGAAUUGUUGUACACGUAGUUGUUGCUGGUCCCCAGAUGGGGGCAUGUGCACGCUCUGUUUACACAUCCACUCACACCUGACUCACCCAUCAUAGUUAAGUGGUUCAGGAGGCUCUGUCCCCUGCGCCAUGGCUCUGUACCUUUACAACUACACACCGCAACGAAGACUCAUGGAAUGUAUUCCGCGUUUAACGCAAUAUAAUACAACUUUCAGCAACGGAUCUCUUGGCUCUCGCAUCUGAUGAACAACGCAACGAAAUGCGAUAAGUAAGGUGAAUUGCAGAAUUCACUGAAUCAUCCAAUCUUUGAACGCACCUUGCGCCCUUUGGCUAUUCCGAAGGGCAUGCCUGUUUGAGUAUCAUGAACAUCUCAACUCUCAUGGUCUGCCAUGAUGAGCCUGGAUUUUGGGGGCCUUUCCUGGAUUGUGUCACCUCCUCCCAAAGGAAUCAACUCGCCAAUGCCGGGCGAGCAUCACGAGUGUGAUAACUGUCAUACACUGGUGGUUUUCCACCCGGUAACCUUCACCGAUGGAGGUUCACGUGGGGCUCAUAAAUGUCUUUCCCCAGAGAAGACAGCUCUUUGAACAUUUGAUCUCAAAUCAGGUAGGACUACCCGCUGAACUUAAGCAUAUCAAUAGCGGGAGGAA
Molecule: ribosomal RNA, 716 nt
Filed under: Tomentella sp. SYN 997
Lineage: Eukaryota; Fungi; Basidiomycota; Agaricomycetes; Thelephorales; Thelephoraceae
Description: eukaryotic LSU rRNA
Rfam family: 5.8S ribosomal RNA (bases 276-431)
Source: RNAcentral